GGUAUCCUCCUUCUCCAAUUCUUGCCAAAAUGCUUUAUCGACACGAUUGACAUCAACGUCAAAACAUUGUUGGGAGAAACCACUUGGUGCAAACUCAAACCCUAAAAAGUGAAUGGUGAAUAAAAUGAAUUUUUUUUAUCUUUUAAAUAGUAAAACAAAUGGGUCUCUUAAAAGUAACAUGAUCAAGAUAGAAAACGAACAUUACCUUCUAAUGAGCUUCCAGAUACAUCUGAAUUCACAUAGGCGAUGGUGGAAAGAGAUCAUGUUGGACUAAAAUCAAUAGACACUAUCUUUUUCCACUGUUUCCUACAUAAAUUUAAAUACCUUUGGACACUCAUUAGAAGACAACACUUGCUUUUCUUUUCUUCACAUUCCUUUCAAGAGACUCGUGGUUUGCUAUUUAAAAAAACAAUUUUUUUCUCAUUUGAUUUACUAUUCACUUUCUAGUGUGAGUUUGUGCCAAGUGACUUUGACAACAAUGUUUAGACACCAAUGUUAGUUCACGUCGAUAAAGCUUUUCGACAAGAGUUGUAGAAGUAGGAAAUCAAGAGAGAGAUAAUUGAUUGUGCUAGAUAGCACGAUGACAAGAGUUGAAUGAAGAAAUGAGGAAAAUGGAGUUGGAGAGGACAUUGGGAAUCCCAAAGAAUUAGAAGACGAAAUACAAAAAACCUCAAAGAAAUUAAAUUAACAUAAAAUAAUUGUCAAUGACUAUGACUUAAUCCCAAAACAAAGAGAACUACUCACACAUAGUCAUGAACAAUCCUAAAGAAAACAUAAAAGAGAAAGAAGGAAUACCGAUCGAAGAAGAGAAAAGUUAAGAAAACUCCAAAACUCUCCUAAGUUGUCAAUACUCAAAGUCGGAGCCCUUUUAUAAAGUUUUUCUAAGCUAAAGACAUGACCUAAAAUUUGUUUAGGCCCAAAGACACUAAAAACAUACAAAAUAAGGAAAUAACUCAUAAGCUUAAUGACACGCUCGUGUGCAUGGAUGGCAUGCCCGUGCUAGAUGCGUCAACAGCCUAAUCAAGAAAUAAGGGGCUUGGCAUGCCCAUGCAAGAUUUGCAUAAGCCUAAUAGUGGAAUAGGGGACUUGACACGCUCGUGCCAGAUGAAGCCAACAACAAAUAGCUCUUUUUUCCUUUCAGAAAGAUCCCCGAUGGCUAAUAAAUACUAAUGAAUUAAACUUAAUUAUGCACACAAUGUAUGAAAAUUACAUAUAUAUAUAUAUAUAUAUAUGAGUAUACCUUAGAGAAGCAAAUUAAAUAUCAACUUAUACUAUAGAUAGAUGGUGCGAGAAACGAAAAAUCAUUUGAGAACACAAGGACGUGCGUUGCUUCCACAUGGAACAAAUAUCCCAAGGAACGAUGGUAGAUGAUGAGAGAGCAACAAUCAUCAGCUUUUAAUCACAUUGCACCCAAAACUUCAACCAGCCAACAAUAUGAACAUAUUCAAUGGCAGUCAUCACCGCACACAAUUCAUCAUAUAAAGCAGUUUUAAUUCCAAUAUAAGAAGAAAAACCCUUUACAAAGGCACCACUACUAUCUCAAUAAAAACCUCCACAAGUCGCAUGACUCGGGGAGCCAGGCACAGCACCAUCAAUGUUGUACUUAAUGAAGGCACAAACUGGAGGGAACCAAUCAACCCUUUUUAAUCUCAAAGGAUUUUGGAGGAUGAAAGGGAACCAAGAAAGUGAACUCAAUCAAUUCUUGAAUAAACAUUAAUUUUUGUAAAUAUUUAUAUAAUAUAUAGUAACAUAUGUUUUAUAAAUUAAGAAUAAUAAAAAAAUAUGUUAAAAAAUUAUAGCAUAUAAAUUUGUAGAUUAUAAACUUCCCCAGGGCAUGGGUUAUUAAACUAGUUUAUAUUAACAAUUGUAUUUGAAAAUCAUAUUUUUGGAACAUCAGAAGUCAAGGUGGAAUAUUACCUCACUAUCUUAAUGUUGAUGGAACACAUCUAUUUUCUUGACCUAGUAAUGUACAUCUCCCGCUUCUACAUGUCAAUAUUCAUUUUUGUGUACCAAAAUUUGCAGCACCAUUAGCAACCAAUCAUGGCUAUUGAGUGCAAGCCUAGAACUUCUAUUUG
RNAcentral lists this long non-coding RNA (2075 nucleotides) under Glycine max (soybean). RNAcentral describes it as "long non-coding RNA (GMAX_LNC003576)". Lineage: Eukaryota; Viridiplantae; Streptophyta; Magnoliopsida; Fabales; Fabaceae. The record is from RNAcentral.